Molecule: ribosomal RNA, 253 nt
Filed under: uncultured bacterium
Lineage: Bacteria
Description: partial 16S ribosomal RNA
Rfam family: Bacterial small subunit ribosomal RNA
Source: RNAcentral
UACGUAGGGUGCAAGCGUUGUCCGGAAUUAUUGGGCGUAAAGGGCUCGUAGGCGGUCCAUCGCGUCGGGAGUGAAAAGCUGGGGCUUAACCCCAGUCCUGCUUCCGAUACGGGUGGACUAGAGGUAGGUAGGGGAGAUCGGAAUUCCUGGUGUAGCGGUGAAAUGCGCAGAUAUCAGGAGGAACACCGGUGGCGAAGGCGGCCUUCUGGACGGAUACUGACGCUGAGACGCGAAAGCGUGGGGAGCAAACAGG